GAUAUACACUCAGAGACAACUCAUUGACAGUUGGUGGAAGAAUAUUUCUGACCAACAAGUACAAUGUGACAGUCAGAGACCAUUAGAAGAAUGAUCUCCUGGAGCAUCUCAAAGACAAAAUCACAUGGGCUGUUUUGUUUCUCUCACAACGGCUAGUUCCUCACUCACAACGUAUAUGUGUGAUGUCCAAGCAACAAAGGAGCAUCUCCAUCUAUAAAUAGCACGCUGGUUUAAUUGGAAGAGCAAGAACUUGAAGCACACAAAGCAAUCUAAUACAUUCAAUCAAGCUCUCCUUUUCACUCUUACUCUAAAGCUCUUUAGAAAUCUAGGAUCAUAUAUUUGUAGAGUACUUUG
RNAcentral lists this long non-coding RNA (354 nucleotides) under Trifolium pratense (red clover). RNAcentral's name for it is "long non-coding RNA (TPRA_LNC011840)". The record is from RNAcentral. Lineage: Eukaryota; Viridiplantae; Streptophyta; Magnoliopsida; Fabales; Fabaceae.